CGAACGAGAACGGGUUAUAGCUUGCUAUAAUUGUCAGCUAAGUGGCGCACGGGUGAGUAAUAUAUAGGUAACAUGCCUUCGAGAAGGGGAUAACGUUUGGAAACGGACGCUAAUACCCUAUAUGCCUUUAAGUCUUAAGACUGCAAGGGAAAUAUUUAUAGCUCGAAGAUUGGCCUGUACGGUAUCAGCUUGUUGGUGAGGUAAUGGCUCACCAAGGCUAUGACAUCUAACUGGUUUGAGAGGAUGAUCAGUCACACUGGAACUGAGACACGGUCCAGACUCCUACGGGAGGCAGCAGUGGGGAAUAUUGCACAAUGGACGAAAGUCUGAUGCAGCAACGCCGCGUGGAGGAUGACACAUUUCGGUGCGUAAACUCCUUUUAUAUGGGAAGAUAAUGACGGUACCAUAUGAAUAAGCACCGCUAACU
This 427-nucleotide ribosomal RNA is filed under the name uncultured bacterium. RNAcentral's name for it is "bacterial SSU rRNA". It matches the Rfam family "Bacterial small subunit ribosomal RNA", at positions 63 to 502 of the family's 1533-position model. The record is from RNAcentral.